RNAcentral lists this ribosomal RNA (996 nucleotides) under Psychrobacter sp. Its description in RNAcentral is "bacterial SSU rRNA". It matches the Rfam family "Bacterial small subunit ribosomal RNA", at positions 405 to 1393 of the family's 1533-position model. The record is from RNAcentral. Lineage: Bacteria; Pseudomonadati; Pseudomonadota; Gammaproteobacteria; Moraxellales; Moraxellaceae.
GUGAAGAAGGCCUUUUGGUUGUAAAGCACUUUAAGCAGUGAAGAAGACUCUUCGGUUAAUACCCGGAGACGAUGACAUUAGCUGCAGAAUAAGCACCGGCUAACUCUGUGCCAGCAGCCGCGGUAAUACAGAGGGUGCAAGCGUUAAUCGGAAUUACUGGGCGUAAAGCGAGCGUAGGUGGCUUGAUAAGUCAGAUGUGAAAUCCCCGGGCUUAACCUGGGAACUGCAUCUGAUACUGUCAGGCUAGAGUAGGUGAGAGGAAGGUAGAAUUCCAGGUGUAGCGGUGAAAUGCGUAGAGAUCUGGAGGAAUACCGAUGGCGAAGGCAGCCUUCUGGCAUCAUACUGACACUGAGGCUCGAAAGCGUGGGUAGCAAACAGGAUUAGAUACCCUGGUAGUCCACGCCGUAAACGAUGUCUACUAGUCGUUGGGUCCCUUGAGGACUUAGUGACGCAGCUAACGCAAUAAGUAGACCGCCUGGGGAGUACGGCCGCAAGGUUAAAACUCAAAUGAAUUGACGGGGGCCCGCACAAGCGGUGGAGCAUGUGGUUUAAUUCGAUGCAACGCGAAGAACCUUACCUGGUCUUGACAUAUCUAGAAUCCUGCAGAGAUGCGGGAGUGCCUUCGGGAAUUAGAAUACAGGUGCUGCAUGGCUGUCGUCAGCUCGUGUCGUGAGAUGUUGGGUUAAGUCCCGCAACGAGCGCAACCCUUGUCCUUAGUUACCAGCGGGUUAAGCCGGGAACUCUAAGGAUACUGCCAGUGACAAACUGGAGGAAGGCGGGGACGACGUCAAGUCAUCAUGGCCCUUACGACCAGGGCUACACACGUGCUACAAUGGUAGGUACAGAGGGCAGCUACACAGCGAUGUGAUGCGAAUCUCAAAAAGCCUAUCGUAGUCCAGAUUGGAGUCUGCAACUCGACUCCAUGAAGUAGGAAUCGCUAGUAAUCGCGGAUCAGAAUGCCGCGGUGAAUACGUUCCCGGGCCUUGUACACACCGC